Molecule: ribosomal RNA, 216 nt
Filed under: uncultured bacterium
Lineage: Bacteria
Description: partial 16S ribosomal RNA
Rfam family: Bacterial small subunit ribosomal RNA
Source: RNAcentral
UGGGAACGUGCCCAAAGGUACGGAACAACUCCGGGAAACUGGAGCUAAUACCGUAUGUGCCCGAAAGGGGAAAGAUUCAUCGCCUUUGGAUCGGCCCGCGUCUGAUUAGCUAGUUGGCGGGGUAAUGGCCCACCAAGGCGACGACGGGUAGCUGGUCUGAGAGGACGACCAGCCACACUGGAACUGAGAUACGGUCCAGACUCCCACGGGAGGCAG